AAAGUGCCGGUGAUCGGGACGAGUAAACGGUACGGCUGCCCAGAGAGCCCGGGUUAAGGUGAGAGCCGGGCGCAGUGCAAACCGCUUGAAAAUCACCCGUGAGGCGACGGCUGAAAUCCUACAGGGAGAUUAAGCCCGUCCGGCAGCCACCGUUAACGGCUAUGCAAGUGGGACCGGUCUCUUAAACCAAAGCAAUGGUUAGGCUAAGCAUUAGCACCGGUCCAAUCAGGGUGGUACCACGGAAAACAUCCGUCCCUUGG
RNAcentral lists this non-coding RNA (260 nucleotides) under Desulfoscipio gibsoniae. RNAcentral describes it as "Desulfotomaculum gibsoniae T-box sequence". It matches the Rfam family "T-box leader". From Rfam's summary of the family: Uncharged tRNA acts as the effector for transcription antitermination of genes in the T-box leader family. T-boxes are found upstream of many aminoacyl-tRNA synthetase genes and some amino acid biosynthetic genes usually in Gram-positive bacteria. The record is from RNAcentral. Lineage: Bacteria; Bacillati; Bacillota; Clostridia; Eubacteriales; Desulfallaceae.